RNAcentral lists this ribosomal RNA (66 nucleotides) under Colwellia hornerae. RNAcentral's name for it is "partial 23S ribosomal RNA". The record is from RNAcentral. Lineage: Bacteria; Pseudomonadati; Pseudomonadota; Gammaproteobacteria; Alteromonadales; Colwelliaceae.
UGCGAGGUCUUGAGCUAACUGAUACUAAUUGCCCGUGAGGCUUAACCAUACAACACCCAAGUAGUU